Molecule: ribosomal RNA, 529 nt
Filed under: uncultured bacterium
Lineage: Bacteria
Description: partial 16S ribosomal RNA
Rfam family: Bacterial small subunit ribosomal RNA
Source: RNAcentral
UGGGGAAUAUUGCACAAUGGGCGAAAGCCUGAUGCAGCAACGCCGCGUGAGUGAUGAAGGUCUUCGGAUUGUAAAGCUCUGUCUUUUGGGACGAUAAUGACGGUACCAAAGGAGGAAGCCACGGCUAACUACGUGCCAGCAGCCGCGGUAAUACGUAGGUGGCGAGCGUUGUCUGGAUUUACUGGGCGUAAAGGGUGCGUAGGCGGAUGUUUAAGUGAGAUGUGAAAUACCCGGGCUUAACUUGGGUGCUGCAUUUCAAACUGGAUAUCUAGAGUGCAGGAGAGGAGAAUGGAAUUCCUAGUGUAGCGGUGAAAUGCGUAGAGAUUAGGAAGAACACCAGUGGCGAAGGCGAUUCCCUGGACUGUAACUGACGCUGAGGCACGAAAGCGUGGGUAGCAAACAGGAUUAGAUACCCUGGUAGUCCACGCCGUAAACGAUGAGUACUAGGUGUAGGAGGUAUCGACCCCUUCUGUGCCGCAGUAAACACAUUAAGUACUCCGCCUGGGAAGUACGAUCGCAAGAUUAAAAC